GUUCGAUUAGCCAUGCGAGUCGAGAGGUGUUAUGGCCUCGGCGGACUGCUCAGUAACACGUGGACAACUUACCCAAGAGUCCGGGAUAACCCCGGGAAACUGGGGAUAGUACCGGAUAGGUCACCUAUGCUGGAAGGCGGGGUGGUUGAAACUUCCGGGGCUUUUGGAUGGGUCUGCGGCUGAUUAGGUUGUUGCCGGUGUAACGUACCGUCAAGCCUGUAAUCAGUACGGGUUGUGGGAGCAGGAGCCCGGAGAUGGAUUCUGAGACACGAAUCCAGGCCCUACGGGGCGCAGCAGGCGCGAAAACUCUACAAUGCAGGCAACUGCGAUAGGGGAACAUCGAGUGAUCCUCAUAUUGGGGGUCUGUCCCACUGUCUAAAAAACGGUGGUUAGCAAGGGCCGGGCAAGACCGGUGCCAGCCGCCGCGGUAAUACCGGCGGCUCGAGUGGUGGCCGAUAUUAUUGAGUCUAAAGGGUCCGUAGCCGGCUUUGCAAGUCUCUCGGGAAAUCCAGCGGCUUAACCGUUGG
This 527-nucleotide ribosomal RNA is filed under the name uncultured archaeon. Its description in RNAcentral is "bacterial SSU rRNA". It matches the Rfam family "Archaeal small subunit ribosomal RNA", at positions 38 to 569 of the family's 1478-position model. The record is from RNAcentral.